RNAcentral lists this ribosomal RNA (753 nucleotides) under Janthinobacterium lividum. RNAcentral's name for it is "bacterial SSU rRNA". It matches the Rfam family "Bacterial small subunit ribosomal RNA", at positions 28 to 776 of the family's 1533-position model. Lineage: Bacteria; Pseudomonadati; Pseudomonadota; Betaproteobacteria; Burkholderiales; Oxalobacteraceae. The record is from RNAcentral.
AUUGAACGCUGGCGGCAUGCCUUACACAUGCAAGUCGAACGGCAGCACGGAGCUUGCUCUGGUGGCGAGUGGCGAACGGGUGAGUAAUAUAUCGGAACGUACCCUGGAGUGGGGGAUAACGUAGCGAAAGUUACGCUAAUACCGCAUACGAUCUACGGAUGAAAGUGGGGGAUCGCAAGACCUCAUGCUCGUGGAGCGGCCGAUAUCUGAUUAGCUAGUUGGUAGGGUAAAAGCCUACCAAGGCAUCGAUCAGUAGCUGGUCUGAGAGGACGACCAGCCACACUGGAACUGAGACACGGUCCAGACUCCUACGGGAGGCAGCAGUGGGGAAUUUUGGACAAUGGGCGAAAGCCUGAUCCAGCAAUGCCGCGUGAGUGAAGAAGGCCUUCGGGUUGUAAAGCUCUUUUGUCAGGGAAGAAACGGUGAGGGCUAAUAUCCCUUGCUAAUGACGGUACCUGAAGAAUAAGCACCGGCUAACUACGUGCCAGCAGCCGCGGUAAUACGUAGGGUGCAAGCGUUAAUCGGAAUUACUGGGCGUAAAGCGUGCGCAGGCGGUUUUGUAAGUCUGAUGUGAAAUCCCCGGGCUCAACCUGGGAAUUGCAUUGGAGACUGCAAGGCUAGAAUCUGGCAGAGGGGGGUAGAAUUCCACGUGUAGCAGUGAAAUGCGUAGAUAUGUGGAGGAACACCGAUGGCGAAGGCAGCCCCCUGGGUCAAGAUUGACGCUCAUGCACGAAAGCGUGGGGAGCAAANAGG